GUCUUUUUGUGAAUUAUUUAAGGUUUGGCCUGCUCAAUGAGUGUUUAAAUAGCCGCAGUAUUUUGACUGUGCAAAGGUAGCAUAAUCAUUAGUUUUUUAAUUGAAAGCUGGAAUGAAGGGUCGGAUGAGAAAGCUUCUGUCUCACUUUAAUUUUAAUUGAAUUUUAUUUUUAAGUUAAAAAGCUUAGAUUUUAUAAAAAGACGAGAAGACCCUAUAGAGUUUAAUAGAUUUAAAUAUAGACUAUUUUAGGGUUUUAUAUUAGUUUAUUUUUAAUUUAUUUUGUUGGGGUGAUAUAAGAAUUGAGUUAACUUCUUUAUAUUUAAACACUGAUUUGUGAGAAAUGGAUCCUUAAAUUGGGAUUAAAAGAAUAAAUUACCUUAGGGAUAACAGCGUAAUUCUUUUGGAGAGUUCUAAUCGAUAAAAGGGAUUGCGACCUCGAUGUUGGAUUAAAGUUUAAUUUUGGUGUAGAAGCUAGGAUUUUAAGUCUGUUCGACUUUUAAAACUUU
RNAcentral lists this ribosomal RNA (506 nucleotides) under Berberomeloe insignis. RNAcentral describes it as "partial 16S ribosomal RNA". It matches the Rfam family "Bacterial large subunit ribosomal RNA", at positions 1830 to 2597 of the family's 2925-position model. The record is from RNAcentral. Lineage: Eukaryota; Metazoa; Arthropoda; Insecta; Coleoptera; Meloidae.